This 498-nucleotide ribosomal RNA is filed under the name Sounama koshunella. RNAcentral describes it as "partial 16S ribosomal RNA". The record is from RNAcentral. Lineage: Eukaryota; Metazoa; Arthropoda; Insecta; Hemiptera; Aphrophoridae.
UUUUUAGUAUUUUUAUUAAAGAUCUAAUCUGCUCAAUGAUUAAUUAAUUUAAUAGCCGCAGUAUAUUGACUGUGCAAAGGUAGCAUAAUAAUUAGUCUUUUAAUUGAAGUCUGGAAUGAAUGAUUGAAUGAAAAAUUAUCUUUCUUUGAUAUUUAAUUAGAAUUUGAUUUUUGAGUGAAAAAGCUUAAAUUAUUUUAAGUGACGAUAAGACCCUAUAGAGUUUGAAAUUUUUUUUAUUAUUAUUGUUUUUGAUGUUAUUAUAUAUAUUAAUAUAAUUUAAUUUUUUAUUGGGGUGAUAAAUUUAAUAUUAUUAACUUUAUUUUUUUUUUUCAUUUAUUUAUGUUUAUUUUGAUCUAAUAUUAUUGAUUAUAAGAAUUAGUUACCUUAGGGAUAACAGCGUAAUUUUUUUGUAGAGUUCAUAUCGAUAAAAAAUUUUGCGACCUCGAUGUUGGAUUAAGAUAAAAUUAGGGGGUAAGUUUUCUAAUUAUAAGUCUGUUC